ACUGCCAGAGCACAGACCUUCUCUGGCACCUUUUAAGCCACUGAGUUUAAAAUGGGGUAUUAAUUGUCCUUAAAACCAAAGUAUUCACAUCUCGGUCUUUUAUCCACCUCCAUAGAGUAGAUCUGUUCUUUGUUAUGUUGUCUAACUUUAGUGCUCUUCUGACCAUUCUGGAACUCCAUAAUGAAAUGCCUAAUGCAAGAAUUGAUGUUUCUUCUAUCAUGGUUCAUUAGUGAUAGUCCUCAACGUACAACCACAAUUAGGACCUUAAUUGUUAAGCAAGGUAGUUGUUAAAUGAGUCAUGUCCAAUUUUAUGAUUUUUUUUAAUAAGGUUGUUAAACGAAGUCAUUUUUUUUCAGUCCAUUGUAACUUUGAAUGGUCAUUAAAUAAAUGGAUGUAAGUGGAGAACUAUUAUAAUUGUUCCCUCUCUCUUUCCAGUCACUUUUCCUCUCACCUGAGAAGAUUUCUUUGUACAUGUAGUAGGUUACAUGCUCAGAACAAUUCUUUUCCUAGGCCAGUUUUCCACCUUGCAUUUAUCAGAGAACAAAAAUGAUUGGCCUGUUUGGGUGAUUAUUGAUGGAGGACAGUGUUGCUACCGUACUUUCUCCAUUCUGUCGGAGGUUUAGGAGUUCUUACUGAAGGCAACUGGAAGCUGAAGGCCUUCAACAGGCUGGUCAGAAAGAUGAAGAUCUCAAUUCUUGCCAGUUGCUCUCCCACACAUACACGCUGACCUGUAGGCCCAGCUUCCACAGAGAAGUGACGUCAAUGUGUCGCUGCUGUUUCCAGGUGUGGCCAUUGGAGAAAAUAAUUCCCGAGGACAUCGGCAGACAGAAAUAAGUGAUUCCUUAUAAAUUUAUGUUUAAAAAAAAAUCUGUUAGAUCUGAUCUUCCAAACAUCUUUCUGGAUUUCAGGUGAGUUGACCAUAUAGAGAGAAUUGAUGAAAAUCCAAGCUGGAGAAAGUGGCAAAAUUUGAAGGAAGAGGCAAUUUUUUUAAAAAAAAGGCAAAAUAUGAAACAAAGGAAAGGAUUGAAGAGGCAAGGGAAGAUU
Non-coding RNA from Pantherophis guttatus, 1044 nucleotides. NCBI's taxonomy places the organism in Eukaryota, Metazoa, Chordata, Lepidosauria, Squamata, Colubridae. The record is from RefSeq and is a predicted model, not a curated record.